AGUGAACGCUGGCGGCGUGCUUAACACAUGCAAGUCGAACGAGAACGGAAUAUAGCUUGCUAUAUUUGUCAGCUAAGUGGCGCACGGGUGAGUAAUAUAUAGAUAACCUGCCCUUAAGAAAGGAAUAACAGUUGGAAACGAAUGCUAAUGCCCUAUAUGCCUUUAAUACAUAAGUAUGCAAGGGAAACGCUUUAGUGCUUAAGGAUGGGUCUGUAUGGUAUCAGCUUGUUGGUGAGGUAAUGGCUCACCAAGGCUAUGACGCCUAACUGGUUUGAAAGGAUGAUCAGUCACACUGGAACUGAGACACGGUCCAGACUCCUACGGGAGGCAGCAGUGGUGAAUAUUGCACAAUGGACGAAAGUCUGAUGCAGCAACGCCGCGUGGAGGAUGACACAUUUCGGUGCGUAAACUCCUGUUAUAUAGGAAGAUGAUGACGGUACUAUAUGAAUAAGCACCGGCUAACUCCGUGCCAGCAGCCGCAGUAA
This 485-nucleotide ribosomal RNA is filed under the name uncultured bacterium. Its description in RNAcentral is "partial 16S ribosomal RNA". It matches the Rfam family "Bacterial small subunit ribosomal RNA", at positions 29 to 523 of the family's 1533-position model. The record is from RNAcentral.